UGUCUGUGUUGGAGGUGUCUGUGUUGGAGGUGUCUGUGUUGGAGGUGUCUGUGUUGGAGGUGUCAGUGUUGGAGGUGUCUGUGUCGUGUAUGUCUGUGUUGGAGGUGUCUGUGUUGGAGGUGUCUGUGUUGGAGGUGUCUGUGUUGGAGGUGUCAGUGUUGGAGGUGUCUGUGUUGGAGGUGUCUGUGUUGGAGGUGUCAGUGUUGGAGGUGUCUGUGUGGUGUAUGUCUGUGUUGGAGGUGUCUGUGUUGGAGGUGUCAGUGUUAGAGGUGUCUGUGUUGGAGGUGUCUGUGUUGGAGGUGUCUGUGUUGGAGGUGUCAGUGUUGGAGGUGUCUGUGUGGUGUAUGUCUGUGUUGGAGGUGUCUGUGUGGUGUAUGUCUGUGUUGGAGGUGUCUGUGUCGUGUAUGUCUGUGUUGGAGGUGUCUGUGUUGGAGGUGUCUGUGUUGGAGGUGUCUGUGUUGGAGGUGUCAGUGUUGGAGGUGUCUGUGUGGUGUAUGUCUGUGUUGGAGGUGUCUGUGUGGGG
Oncorhynchus tshawytscha (Chinook salmon) is the source of this 523-nucleotide long non-coding RNA. Lineage: Eukaryota; Metazoa; Chordata; Actinopteri; Salmoniformes; Salmonidae. The record is from Ensembl.